UUGACAACGUGGAUGGGAAUGAAUGAUGGUC
This 31-nucleotide non-coding RNA is filed under the name Mus musculus (house mouse). The record is from RNAcentral. Lineage: Eukaryota; Metazoa; Chordata; Mammalia; Rodentia; Muridae.